GACGAACGCUGGCGGCGUGCUUAACACAUGCAAGUCGAACGGUAAGGUGGAGCUUGCUCCGCCGGAUCAGUGGCGAACGGGUGAGUAACACGUGGGCAACCUGCCCCUAACUUUGGGAUAACUACUCGAAAGAGUAGCUAAUACCGGAUAUGAAGUCUGUAGGCAUCUAUGGAUUUGGAAAGUUUUUCGGUUAGGGAUGGGCCCGCGGCCUAUCAGCUUGUUGGUGAGGUAGUGGCUCACCAAGGCGACGACGGGUAGCCGGCCUGAGAGGGCGACCGGCCACACUGGGACUGAGACACGGCCCAGACUCCUACGGGAGGCAGCAGUGGGGAAUAUUGCGCAAUGGGCGAAAGCCUGACGCAGCAACGCCGCGUGCGGGAUGAAGGCCUUCGGGUUGUAAACCGCUUUCAGCAGGGAAGAAGCGAAAGUGACGGUACCUGCAGAAGAAGCACCGGCUAACUACGUGCCAGCCGCCGCAGUAA
Molecule: ribosomal RNA, 482 nt
Filed under: uncultured bacterium
Lineage: Bacteria
Description: partial 16S ribosomal RNA
Rfam family: Bacterial small subunit ribosomal RNA
Source: RNAcentral